AGAGUUUGAUCAUGGCUCAGGAUGAACGCUAGCGGCAGGCUUAACACAUGCAAGUCGAGGGGUAUAAUAGCAAUAUUAGAGACCGGCGCACGGGUGCGUAACGCGUAUGCAAUCUACCUUUUGCAGAGGGAUAGCCCAGAGAAAUUUGGAUUAAUACCUCAUAGUAUUAUGAUGUGGCAUCACAUUAUAAUUAAAGUCACAACGGCAAAAGAUGAGCAUGCGUCCCAUUAGCUAGUUGGUAAGGUAACGGCUUACCAAGGCAACGAUGGGUAGGGGUCCUGAGAGGGAGAUCCCCCACACUGGUACUGAGACACGGACCAGACUCCUACGGGAGGCAGCAGUGAGGAAUAUUGGACAAUGGGCGCAAGCCUGAUCCAGCCAUGCCGCGUGCAGGAUGAAGCAUCUAUGGUGUGUAAACUGCUUUUGCACAGGAAGAAACACUCGGUCGUGACCGAGCUUGACGGUACUGGAGAAUAAGAUCGAUCCGCC
This 489-nucleotide ribosomal RNA is filed under the name uncultured Flavobacterium sp. RNAcentral's name for it is "bacterial SSU rRNA". It matches the Rfam family "Bacterial small subunit ribosomal RNA", at positions 8 to 501 of the family's 1533-position model. The record is from RNAcentral. Lineage: Bacteria; Pseudomonadati; Bacteroidota; Flavobacteriia; Flavobacteriales; Flavobacteriaceae.